GGCCUAGUAGACCAGCCAUGCUAGCUCCCAGGGUCAUGGUGGAUCUUGUGAUCAACCAAAAUUGCAGGAAGUCACUUGCAGGGCACUGUGUACACACCCAUACCUAUAUAUGUUUUGGACAAUAAUAGUAACCCCACUGGAGAUGGAGACAGAAAAAAAAUGUAAAGCAUCAAAAGAAGUAACUCCAUUUUAGGACCAAGCGCUGAAACCAAAGGUUAAUGGACAAAUUACUGCCGAGUUACUUCUUGGUCACCUGGGUUUUGCUGCAUCAUUUCAUCAUCAUUAGGUUGCAUCAUACACAGGAGAGGUAACAACAGUUCAAGGUCUCAUAGUUGAUGUUCGAUGUGGCAUUUGCAUCUGGGGUGGUAUUUGCAUCUCAACAAGAAGACCAGAAAUUUGCCAAUCCUUGGCCACUAUGAAGCUAAAAAGUAGU
This is a long non-coding RNA of Silurus meridionalis, 433 nucleotides long. RefSeq lists it as uncharacterized. NCBI's taxonomy places the organism in Eukaryota, Metazoa, Chordata, Actinopteri, Siluriformes, Siluridae. The transcript is spliced from 3 exons. The record is from RefSeq and is a predicted model, not a curated record.